This 253-nucleotide ribosomal RNA is filed under the name uncultured bacterium. RNAcentral describes it as "partial 16S ribosomal RNA". It matches the Rfam family "Bacterial small subunit ribosomal RNA", at positions 524 to 776 of the family's 1533-position model. The record is from RNAcentral.
UACGUAGGGGGCUAGCGUUGUCCGGAAUCACUGGGCGUAAAGGGCGCGUAGGUGGCGACCCAAGUCGAUGGUGAAAGCUCGCCGCUUAACGGCGAGUCGGCCACCGAUACUGGGUUGCCCGAGCACUGUAGAGGCAGAUGGAAUUCCGGGUGUAGCGGUGGAAUGCGUAGAGAUCCGGAAGAACACCGGUGGCGAAGGCGGUCUGCUGGGCAGUUGCUGACACUGAGGCGCGACAGCGUGGGGAGCAAACAGG